Molecule: long non-coding RNA, 538 nt
Filed under: Fukomys damarensis (Damara mole-rat)
Lineage: Eukaryota; Metazoa; Chordata; Mammalia; Rodentia; Bathyergidae
Description: lncRNA (ENSFDAG00000027302.1)
Source: RNAcentral
CUUGGCACAAUAUACCUGGAAGAUAACGUGAAUUCAGAGGUGUUUCCUGUUUUCUCUUUCAGGGAAAUCUUGAGGAGUUUGAUCCUUUCCACCCAGCAGCCAUUAACCAUCUUGUGGGAAGCUGUACAUUGGAAGAAUCCCAGGCAAGCGGUUCCUGGCCCUCGCAGUGCAGUUGAGGGAAUCUGGAAGCAGCAUGCGGGCACCAGCGCUGAGGGAAGCCAUGGGCCUAGGCCACAGAGGUAAAACGUGAGGAGAGUCAAAGCCUGGAAUGACAUGUUAGGACUGACACCAAAGAUGACUGCAUUGUCCUGCUGCUCUGAGGGGUAGAAAAAGAACAGAAGAGACUGAAGGUGAACCGACUGAACUCUAAGUCUCAUCCCUCCUUCCAUUUGCCACAUUUUCACUUGUGGGACCCUGAAGGAAGUCCACAGUCAGUGUUAGCUGAUGCGAAGGCUAACAGCAACCACAGUUAACCUCAUCCAUAGCGUCCUUUGCCCCAAAAGCUGCCAUAUUGUCUUCUGAGACUGCUGGAUGCUCA